GAUGGAGCAGUCUGGUAGCUCGUCGGGCUCAUAACCCGAAGGUCGUCGGUUCAAAUCCGGCUC
This 63-nucleotide transfer RNA is filed under the name Pseudomonas fragi. RNAcentral describes it as "tRNA-Met". It matches the Rfam family "tRNA", at positions 6 to 65 of the family's 71-position model. Rfam says of the family: Transfer RNA (tRNA) molecules are approximately 80 nucleotides in length. Lineage: Bacteria; Pseudomonadati; Pseudomonadota; Gammaproteobacteria; Pseudomonadales; Pseudomonadaceae. The record is from RNAcentral.